Oryctolagus cuniculus (rabbit) is the source of this 5768-nucleotide non-coding RNA. Lineage: Eukaryota; Metazoa; Chordata; Mammalia; Lagomorpha; Leporidae. The record is from RefSeq and is a predicted model, not a curated record.
AGUGCUUAUUGUCGGUCCCCGGGCCGUUAGGGGGUGACGUAUUUAUCCCGUUAAACGUUGACUGGCGAAUUAAGCUUGAAGUGGCGGCUUCACAUAAAAUAAUGAAAACCUGAGCGAACCCAAAACGCUGAGGAACAUGGCAGCCCGUUCUUUAUUAGCAAAAUCACAAGAAUAGCGGCCUGGCACCUACGGACCUCAGGGUUCCAAUAACAAACAGAAGCUGCAAGACAUCCUGAGGACUGGGCUCACUGCCUACACAUUCAUUUUGGCAAAAUUCUAUUGGUCAAGCAAAUAACAAAGCCAUGCCAAGAAUCCAGGAAGAGGAGAUCACUUCUUGGACAAAGGGAAUGACUGUAGCCGGCACUUCCUGCUCUGUGCAGCAAUGGUCUCCGACGCCUCCAGUGCGUGGAAUGUUCCAGCCGGCCUGAGACCACAGAGCUGCCGCUCGAGGCAGACACCUGUUCCGAGAGUUCUGUGGGCUCUGCAACGAUUACCAGCUUCCAGAAGGAAAAGAACGGCUCACAGAGGGGACUUGACCACUACUAGCUUCAGUAGUGAGUGCACUUCAGGGUCCCCAUAAGGUAUUGAGCAGAAGAAACUUGGAGGAUGUGAACUGAAUUGCGAGAUGCUCCAGGUGUCCAUUUGCCUUCUGGACUAGAUGCUGUGCUUACUUCUUUGGAUCAACUUGACUCUCCCUUGGCAAAUACACACUUACGACUUGAACCUGUUUGGCCUAGGUGAGCAGGGAUCUCGUGCUCAAAACCGACAUGAACCUGACAGGUCAGCAGGUAGCACUGCAGGUAAGAGUGAGAUUUCCAGGAUGCCUUCUGCCAGGUGCUGGGAGGAUGGAAAGGCCUGGCCGCAGAUCUGGAGCUUCCGUCAGGUCACACAACUGGUGCUGUUUCCUUUCUGCACUGUUGGCUAUUGACAGGAAGGGCAUUGUCUUACUCAGCUUGGCACACAAUGCUAACUCCAUUGCCUGGCACACAGUGCUCAGUAAAUACUAGGCAUAUUCAUACUUGGUGGGGUCCUUCCAGAGCCAUUCAAUCCACAUAGGCCUCCAAGUUUCCGUCACAAGAAGGACUCUCCGUAGCAGGUGAGCGGCAUCUGUGCUUUUCUCCUGAGUCCCCUGUACCAUUUCUCACUUUAUUCUUCUUGCCCCUUUAGCUUAAUGUGGAGGAACAGACUAAAAUUUCCUCCUCCUGUCCUGCUCAGGCCUUCCCACCCCUUCCCACCAGUAUGACAUAUUCUGUAGUGUGUCUACUUUGCCUUGACAUUCUGCUUCCUGUAUCUGCCUUUGCACCUGCUAUUCUCUCUGCUGAAAACUUCCCCUUCCCCUCCAAAGUCAACUCCUAUCCAUCCCUCCAGACCGAGAGGUCACUAAAGUAGUAAACCUGAGAGAUUUGGAACCAGCAAGGUACAAGAUGUUCCUUGUAUCUGAGUAGCAUUGCAUCCCUCCACCCAACUGUGCCUACCACAGCCCAGGCAGGAGCCAACCUGCCUGCCCCCACAUGUGAACUAUCACCAAGCCUGCUUAGGUCCAUGGAUUUUUGACCCAAAGGGCUCUCAUUCUCACUGCCACUGUUGGGACCUAACCUAAUCCCUAAGUCUACUGAACCUCUCGUGAACCUCCAAAAUGGGGUGUGGUGGAGAGCUGGAGGGCCCCAGAGCAACAGGUGUAAAGUGGGCUGGCUCUAGGCAAACCCGGUGAACCAGGAUCUACAACCACCCUCAACUCUAGCCUGGCUCAUGUCUCCAUCACCUCUCGCCUGGUCUCCCUGCUCCCAAUCUUGCCUUACCCAUUCUAUAACUUCAUACAACAGUCAAGAGAUCUAUUUAGUACAUUUGUUAGCCAGCUGUCCAUCUCUAUAACAAAUAUCAGAGAGGCUACUUAUGAAGUUUACUUUGGUUUUGGAGGUUCACAGUCCAAGAUCAGGUGGCUCUGUUGAUCUCGUCUCCAGUAACAGGGUGGCUGGCAGAGGGUGUGCAGAGAAGGAUCCCAUGGCAAGCAGAGAGCAACUGGGCUUGAUUCAGGCUUAUCUAACCCAACCUCCAGGCUUUUUUCUCCAAGAGCUGAAUGGAUAAACUGUGGUACUUCCAGAAAAUGGAAUAUUAUUCAGUGCUGAAAGGAAAUAGGCCAUCCAGCUCUAUGAAGCUAUAAGAAAACCUACACACAUAUUGCUAAGUCAAAGAAGCUGAUUUGAAAAAGGUACAUACCAAGUGAUUCUAACUUAAUGACAUUCUGGAAAAGACCAAACUACAGAGACAGUGAAAGGAUCAGUGGUUAGAACUGAGGAAGGGAGGCUGGUGGUGUGGCAUAUCAGGUUAAACCACUGCCUGCAACACUGUCAUCCCAUAUAGGCACCAGUUCGAGUCCCGGCUUUUCCACUUCUUCUCUGUGCUGAUGUGCCUGGGAAAGCAGUGAAAGAUGGCCCAAAUGCUUGGGCCCCUGCACCCACGUGGGAGACCUGGAAGAACCUACUGGUUCCUGGCUUUGGCCUGGCUGAGCCCUGGCUGUUAGGGCCAUUUGAACCAGCAGACGAACAAAAUCAAUCUCUCUCUCUCUCUCUCUCUCUCUCUCUCUCUCUCAUUCUCCCUCUCUAUGAACUCUAUAUUUCAAAUAAAUAAAUAAAUAAAUCUUUACAAGUGAGGAAGGAAGGAGUAGGUGGAUCAUAAUGAUGAAACUUUGCUGGUAUACAUUUGUCCAAACCCAUAGAAUGUACAAUACCAAGAGUGAACACUAACGUAAACUCUGGACUCAGGGUGGCAAUGAUCUGUCGAUGUAUGUUCAUGGAUUGUAACAAUCCAUGCUCUUAGGGUGAGGAAUAUCCUCAGUAGGGGAGGCUGCAAGUAUGUGGGAGCAGAGGGGUUGUGGUAAAUCUCUGAAUCUCCCACUCAAUUUUGCUUUGAACCUAAAACCACACUACAAAAAAAAAGUAUUUUAUAAAAAAAAAAAAAAAAGCACAACUCCAUGGUUCUUGUCCCCAUCUCUCUGGUAUUCUUUUUUUUUUUUUUUUAAUUAUUUUUAUUUUUUUUACAGGCAGAGUGGACGGUGAGAGAGAGAGACAGAGAGAAAGGUCUUCCUUUGCCGUUGGUUCACCCUCCAAUGGCCACCGCGGCCAGCGCGCUGUGGCCGGCGCACCGCGCUGAUCCGAAGGCAGGAGCCGGGUGCUUCUCCUGGUCUCCCAUGGGGUGCAGGGCCCAAGGACUUGGGCCAUCCUCCACUGCACUCCGUGGCCACAGCAGAGAGCUGGCCUGGAAGAAGGGCAACUGGGACAGAAUCCGGCACCCCGACCAGGACUAGAACCCGGUGUGCCGGCGCCACAAGGAGGAGGAUUAGCCUAGUGAGCCGCGGCGCCGGCCCUCUCUGGUAUUCUUAACCUUGUCCCCAGUAACCUUAAACCUCCUGUGUGGUAAAACAUCGUGCUGUUAUAUCAUCGCGGACUGUGCCUGAUUCAGUUGUUCAUGGGGUAAACUUCGAGAGUCUGGCACUCAAAUGAGGUUUUGGUUACUAAGAAAGAGUUUUCUCCCAAAACUGUUUGUUCUGCCUUGAGCCUCGAAAGUCUGCUUUCACAACUUAUUUUUACGCGUUGUUUUCCUUCCCAAAGGCAGUAAACACAUCUCAUAGCCAGAUUCAGUGGUGGAAGGGAGGUGGAAUAAAGAACUAAUGAGGAUGCACAUAUAUGUCAAAAUACUAGCCUUGUACAUAGGCACACGCAACAAACACACAGACACUUUUUAGAACAAUGGAGGUGGGAGUUGGCCUAGCAGUUAUGUACCACUAGUUAGGUGAACUCCAGAACAUCUGAAGAUGAAGUGGAAUGCUGUACAAAAAAUAAAAGCCUUGUAGGUCUAUGUUAUUGACACAGAAACAUAUGGGGGGCAGGGGCUGGCGCUGCGGCAUAGCGGGUAAAACUGCCACCUGCAGUGAUGGCAUCUCAUAUGGGUGCUGGUUCAAGCCCUAGCUGCUCUAUUUCCGAUCCAGCUCUCUGCUGUGGCCUGGAAAAGCAGUAGAAGAUGGCCCAACUGCUUGGGCCCCUGACCUGCCUGGGAGACCUGGAAGAAGCUUCUGGCUCUUGGCUUUGGAUCAGCGCAGCCCUGACUGUUGUGGCCAUCUGGGGAGUGAACCAGCAGAUGGAGGACCUCUCUCUCUCUCUGCCUCUGCUUCUCUGUAACUCUGCCUUUCAAAUAAAUACAUAAAAUCUUGAAAGAAAGAACGAGAGAGAGAGGGAGGGAGGGAGGGAAGAGAGAGAGAGAGAAAGAGAGAGAGAGAGAGAGAGAGAGAGAGAGAGAGAGAGAGAAUGUGUGGGUCUGUUCCUAAGGUUGAAAAAAAAAAACCAACAAACCCAAACUGGGAUCCUGCAGACACGCCAGCCAUUUGCAGAGUGAAACAGCAGGCAGGGGCUCUCUCUCUCUCACUCUCUGUAACUCUCUCAAAUAAAAUAAAUCUAAAUAACAAUAAUAUUAAUAAUAAUAAGUUCAUGGAGGGACAGCCAUUUAGCCAGCAUCUUAAGAUGCCUGAGUGCCAUAUCGGAGUUCCUGGAUUCCAUUCUCAGCUCUGGCUCCUGACUCCGGCUCCCUGUCAAUUGCACCCUGGGAGGCAGCAGGUGACGGCUCAAGUAGCUGGUUUCCUGCCACCCACGUGGGAGACCUGCAUUGAGUUCUUGGCCCCUGGCUUCAGUGUCCCCAGUUGUUGCUGACAUCUGGGGAGUGAAACAGUGGAUAAAAGCUGCCAGUCUGCUAGUCUUUCUCUCUCAUCUCUCAAGUAAAUAAAAAUUUUAAGAAAUUUUUAAGUUUGUGGAAAUGUGGAAUUAAGUGUAAGUUUAUUUUUUGACAUUUCCUGUGGUAGGAACACAGGGAAUGUUAUUUUUGCCCACGUACACUUUGCUAUGGUCUCUAUGUGUCCUUCCAGAACCCCAUUUGCAAACAGGUCACGUUCUGAGGUUGGUGAGGGUUAGACACCAAGAGACCUGUUUUUAGGGGGACACAUUUGAGCCCAUAUUAAAAAUAUUAAAACUAGAAAAAACGAUGGAUUUCUGAAAACUACACAUCAGACUACGGUGGGAUUUUAACCUUCAAUGUGUAGAGAACACCACUCCCUGGGAAUACGAACUCUCCAACUGUUUCCUUUCUCUUUUUAAAGAUUUAUUUAUUGGCUGGCGCCACAGCUCAAUAGGCUAAUUCUCCGCCUGCGGCACUGGCACACCGGGUUCUAGUCCUGGUCGGGGCGCUGGUUCUGUCCCGGUUGCCCCUCUUCCAGGCUAGCUCUCUGCUGUGGCCAGGGAGUGCAGUGGAGGAUGGCCCAAGUCCUUGGGCCCUGCGCCCGCACGGGAGACCAGGAGAAGCACCUGGCUCCUUGCUUCGGAUCAGCGCGAUGGGCCGGCCACAGAGCAACGGCUGCAGUGGCCAUUGGAGGGUGAACCAACGGCAAAGGAAGACCUUUCUCUCUGUCUUUCUCUCUCACUGUCCACUCUGCCUGUCAAAAAAAAAAAAAAAAUUUAUUUACUAGGGCCAGCGCUGUGGCAUAGCAGAUAAAGCCAUCACCUGCAGUGCCUGCAUCCCUUUAUGGAUGCUGGUUGCAGUCUUAGCUGCUCUACUUCCAAUCUAGCUCCCUGCUUACGUCCCUGGGAAAGCAGUAGAAGAUGGCCCAAGCGCCUCAGUCCCUGCACCCACGUGGGAGACUUGGAAGAAGCUCCUGACUCCUGGCUCCAGCCUGGUCCUGUCCUGGCUGCUGUGGCCAUUUAGGAAGUGAAUCAGUGGGUGGAAGA